This 262-nucleotide ribosomal RNA is filed under the name uncultured archaeon. RNAcentral describes it as "partial 16S ribosomal RNA". It matches the Rfam family "Archaeal small subunit ribosomal RNA", at positions 748 to 1009 of the family's 1478-position model. The record is from RNAcentral.
CAGCCGUAAACUAUGCUCGCUAGGUGUCAGGCAUGGCGCGACCGUGUCUGGUGCCGCAGGGAAGCCGUGAAGCGAGCCACCUGGGAAGUACGGCCGCAAGGCUGAAACUUAAAGGAAUUGGCGGGGGGAGCACAACAACGGGUGGAGCCUGCGGUUUAAUUGGACUCAACGCCGGACAACUCACCGGGGACAACAGCAAUAUGUAGGCCAGGCUGAAGACCUUGCCUGAAUCGCUGAGAGGAGGUGCAUGGCGUAGACGUCU